GAUGAAGAACGCAGCGAAAUGCGAUAAGUAAUGUGAAUUGCAGAAUUCAGUGAAUCAUCGAAUCUUUGAACGCACAUUGCGCCCGCCAGUAUUCUGGCGGGCAUGCCUGUCUGAGCGUCAUUUCAACCCUCAUGCCCCUAGGGCGUGGUGUUGGGGAUCGGCCAAAGCCCGCGAGGGACGGCCGGCCCCUAAAUCUAGUGGCGGACCCGUCGUGGCCUCCUCUGCGAAGUAGUGAUAUUCCGCAUCGGAGAGCGACGAGCCCCUGCCGUUAAACCCCCAACUUUCCAAGGUUGACCUCAGAUCAGGUAGGAAUACCCGCUGAACUUAAGCAUUCAAUAAGCGGAGGA
This 347-nucleotide unclassified non-coding RNA is filed under the name soil metagenome. RNAcentral describes it as "partial contains 5.8S ribosomal RNA, internal transcribed spacer 2, and large subunit ribosomal RNA". The stretch from base 1 to 120 matches the Rfam family "5.8S ribosomal RNA", at positions 35 to 154 of the family's 154-position model. The record is from RNAcentral.